GCUAUCUGCGAUAUGGAAGAUUCGAACCUGCCGCAGGUUCGGGUCGAACGCAGUGAGACAACGGAGCCGUUUACGGCGACGGCCCGAAGGGCGAGCGAAGCGAGUCAUCCUGCACGACCCACCA
This 124-nucleotide small RNA is filed under the name Salmonella enterica subsp. enterica serovar Kentucky. Its description in RNAcentral is "RtT sRNA". It matches the Rfam family "RtT RNA". From Rfam's summary of the family: This family represents a bacterial cis-regulatory element known as RtT RNA. The exact function of RtT is unknown although it is thought that it may be involved in changing the cellular response in relation to amino acid starvation. Lineage: Bacteria; Pseudomonadati; Pseudomonadota; Gammaproteobacteria; Enterobacterales; Enterobacteriaceae. The record is from RNAcentral. RNAcentral also lists the same sequence under 1 other name.